Molecule: ribosomal RNA, 253 nt
Filed under: uncultured bacterium
Lineage: Bacteria
Description: partial 16S ribosomal RNA
Rfam family: Bacterial small subunit ribosomal RNA
Source: RNAcentral
UACAGGGGGGGCAAGCGUUGUUCGGAAUUACUGGGCGUAAAGGGCUCGUAGGCGGCCAACUAAGUCACACGUGAAAUCCCCAGGCUUAACCUGGGAACUGCGUGUGAUACUGGAUGGCUUGAAUUCGGGAGAGGGAUGCAGAGUUCCAGGUGUAGCGGUGAAAUUCGUAGAUAUCAGGAGGAACACCGGUGGCGAAGGCGGCUUCCUGGACAACUACUGACGCUGAGACGCGAAAGCGUGGGGAGCAAACAGG